Molecule: non-coding RNA, 4311 nt
Organism: Coturnix japonica (Japanese quail)
Lineage: Eukaryota; Metazoa; Chordata; Aves; Galliformes; Phasianidae
Source: RefSeq, a predicted model, not a curated record
UUUAGUUGUGUGAUCUUUAAUGUUGCAGUGGAGAUGCUUUUUCAGAUUUGCAGUAGACUCUUUAGAGUUCUUGUUCAGACUACAUUUGCUUUACCUUUUCUCUCAUUUUUUGUUUAAUUUGAGUCAACACAAGACUGAAAUAUGGAAAAAUAUUAAAUUGCUAUCUUAAUUAGGAAAAGUCUGGCUCAGGUUGCUGCAAUCAAGUAACAGCCAAUAAGGAGUAGCUCUUAGCUAUUAUAAAGGUGGGACACCUGCAUGUGAACAAAGAGUUUGCAGCAACCAGUGUUGUAGAGUGAGCUGUCUCCAAGUACCACCUUUGUGUGCUUCACAGCAGUUCCUUGAGAACAGGGAAUUGAGAAGCUUACAUGGGCACAUAAGUCUUCUUCAAAGGAAGAAACGGCUCAUUAGAAGAAUAAUGAGAACAUGUAAGCUGAUCAUCAAAGAUCCGUAACACAGGGAUCAUGAACCCUCAGAUACAAGGACAGGUGUGUGAAGAAAGGUAUUGAACCCUUCAGCAAAACUCACAGAGGGCAAAAAGUGGAGUCCUUAUUGCAGUUAGCAUCUGUCUGCACUGGUAUAAGUCAGCCCUCAGGUGAAACUUGAGUCUGAAGCACAGGAUGAUUAAUGUGCUGUUGAGCUCCUCCUUUUGGAUCUUUCUGGAGUUGGAAACAGAAACACUAAGAAAGCAGUCUGAAGUAAUGGAGUAGCCUGGCUUGGUGAAUGAAGUACAUAAAAUCCAUGUUUCAAUCUCAAGACUGAAAGGUUUCCCUCACUUCAUUCCUCUUUUGAACCACUGAAGCGUUGUCUUGAGAACAACUUGGACAUUUCAUUCCUGUUAUCUGAGAAUAAGAUCACCCAAAACCUUGUGUGCUUGCAUAAAAUAAGCAGUGACAGAGGGAAGAGGCUGAGCAUUCAGGUGGAGAGAAGGGAGGCAAUUCUCGAGAGUGAGAGAUACGAUUUUGUGGCCAGUGUGAAACAAAACAAAACGAAACAAAAUGCAGAGAGAUGAUAAAAUAUCCCUUCUGUCUCCAUUUCACUCUCAUUUUAAUGUAUCUUCAGACUAAAGCAGUGACAUCACAUUAUCAGCUGGAGACUUUUGGAAAUGGAUCUCUUAAAAAGAUGUCAGAAAACAGAUAAACACAGAAUACAUAUCUAAGCUAUUGGAUGCUUAUAAAAGAUGGGCAAAGGAAAAUGCUGUCCAAUCCCAAGAAAUGCAAAAGAAUUAUCGAGCAUGACUGUGCCUCUCUUGCCGUUUUGAUAUUGGGGAAUUCAUCCAGCUGUGAACCCAUGUUUUUUGUGAGUAUGCACAUACAGUAUAUAUAUAUAUCUGUGGUAUCACAAUCCUAAAUUCUCACGUUCCUCCUGCAUUAUUUUAGAAAUUGGUUAAAUAACAACAUUAGCUGUUCAGUCUUCUGCCUGAAUCUUCAGGUGGAGUGGAGGCUUCAUGUACUCUGUGUCCUUUGAGUGUCAGUACCUGAAUCCUUGGUCCUUCUUCCCAGAAAGAACAGUCAUGCUGUUGACAUUUCAUAUGAGUGAAGCAGUGGGAAACUGCAUAGUAAUAGCCACUGUUUCAGUAUCUCUAGAAGUGCUGUUUUAUGAGAUUCUUCCCACGGUCACAGUAUUUCUAUGUAGCUAUGCAGAUCUGCUGCUUUAUACUCUAUGAGGAGUGUAGGGUUCUCUUAUCAGCUGUUUUUACAUCCUAACAAUAUGUUUGACUAAUCAUUCAUUUCUUAUAAAGUAUUCUCUAAAGUAAUGCUUAACUAUAAGCAUUGGUUGAUUCCCUCCAGAAGCAGUGUACAUACAAACAUGCAUGAAGAUGUCGAGGACUGUAGUAGGCUAGCAGUGAAUUGUUGGGAAUGUCAGAGUAUGGAAGCACCAAAGAAGUAAAUAAAAGGAAGGAGGCUCUCUGAAUGGCUCGUAUUAAUGUACCGGAGUUGGAAGGCCAUACAGACACCAGUGUACCUGGGUCCAGUUUCAUGAGGCACCCAUUUUUGGAGUCACAGGAUGGAUGUGGCUUCUCAUGUCUCAGAGAGAACUGCUUAGAUGUGACAAAAACUUGACAUCUGCCAUCUGCUGUUAUUCCUGUCAUCACAACAAAUCUUGGACAAGAAGCACAGGAAUCCAGACAUUCAUGUUCUGAAAGAAUUAGUUACCAUAGCAACUAAAACUUAGCAUGACAUAUCCUUUGCUACUCUGCAUCAACCAAGCACUUUUUAAGAGAGGAAAAAAGUCUUAAUUAACCUCUGAAAGAAUUAAAGAGACAAGGUAUUUCUGCGCUGGAAAGAAACUGCACCCAUACUCAGCUUUCCUCUGUAUGAUGAGUGCAAUGGAGCGUGCAGCAGGAGGACAUCAGCAAGACUGAAGCCUUGUGGAUAAAGUUGGUGAAGCAAUGCUUACCUUCUACCUUCAUGAGAACUUAGUUAGCCCUUUCCUGAUGUCUGAAAUAGCACACUAGCAAAAGAUCAAAUAUGGAAGAUUUGAAAUGCUGCUCCUUCGCUUCUUGAUGUAGAUCUCUCCUCAAGCACUGUGUGUGACUCUUCCCCUUAAAACUUGGAGCACUGCAUAAAUUCUGCUGGUCAGACAGUGAUUUCAAAAGGUUGAAUUGUGUAAAAACGUUAAGAUGGAUGUGACUCUGGAAGCUGGUGUAUCUUUGUGCGCCAAUAGAAUCAGUGAGUGAUAUGUGCCACAGCUGUAAUACUGAUAAUGUGCCAAGGUAGAGGAUGUGAAUAAAGAAAAAUAUCAUGUACGUCAUAAAUAUGAUUCCUUAGAAGGAACAGCCACAGGCGUACCGUGGAAAAGAUUUAUGCAAGUGAUUACAGCUCCAUAUUCAGAGAAUCUGAAUAAAGGAAGCAAAGAGGAGCUCUUCAGAUGGCCUUCUCCAGUAUAACGUGGACCAUGAGCCCAGUACCCAGAUAAAAGAUUUUCUGGAGAUCACACAAUCCCAAUCUCUGGUAUCUCCUCAAAAUAAAGGGACAGGACUUGUCCCUUUAAAUGUUUAUUACCAGCAAGACAGUUUCUGGAAUGCCUGAAGAAAGAAGGUGAUGCAGCUGUGCCAUCUCACCUUAACAUUCCACUGGACACUAAUGCAGCACAUACAGAUUGAGUUCCAGAGCAUACUGCAUUUGCUGUUUGACUGCACUGUUAGCAUCUGACAAACACCUUAAGAUGGACUGAAGAACACUCAAGAGAAGCAGUUACCGUAAGUGGAAACUGUAAGCCAUUACAGUACAUUUAAAGUCAGCAGAUCUCAGCACAGCCCAGCUAUGACACAUUCAGAUUUCUAACAAGUGAUUCACUAUACAUAGCAGUCUAGGCACAGGGGCGGCAUGAAGUCAGAAUGCCUUUCUCUAUGGAUCCUAACUUCAGAACACAGCAUUUGGUGAGUUUUUGGGACCCAGAUCAAGGGGAGCUGAUGUAGGAAUUGGCCAAACUCUAGAGAAAACACACCCAACAAAAUUAUUUUCUUUAGCAUUAAUAUAAAACACUAGUGGAAAAGAAGGUACUGUGUUAUAACCUUUGCAGUGAGGCGGCAGAUAGAACAUAGGCAUUAAUAACCUCUACUGUGCAGAAUUUAUCACCUAUGUUACUCUGAAUGCUGACGAACCAGAGCGAGUGCCAGCAGAGUUGUCCCUUGCCCCGUCCCCUGGGAUGUGCUGGUGUCUGAGACUUCCAGCUCUGGAUGUUCAGUGCUCCUUUAGGCAUUGACCUGUGCUAUUCAUCAUCAGGUGCAGCAGACUUGUUCUGCAAUGAUCCUGUCAUUUAUUCCACUUAAGCUCUCUGUAGCUUGCAGCAAAAAAAAAGGCAACAAACCUACAGGAAUGCUUUUUUUUUUUCUCCCAAUUGGUCUCUAUUCAUGGCAAUUAUAUUUCGAUUAAGGCAGCACCAUUUAAUAUCUAACACUGCUUACACAAGUGUCAUUUUAAACAUAGUAAAUACCUUCUGAAAACAUCAAUAACAAUAUAGUUAUUUCCAGCCUCACUAAUACACUAGGCAGCUGAAUGGCAUGCUGAUAGUUGACCAUUUCUAGUUCUGAAGUUACAGUGUUUGCAGUCCUCAUUUGUGACACGAUCAGAACAUUUAUUUCAUACAGAAACUGUCUGAGCUGCAGAUUCCUGACUUGUUCUGGGCUACAGGACUGACAUAACAUUUCUGACUUUUGGCUGAAGGAGGGAAGAGAGACUGUGUAUUGGCUGCUCAGUAGGCACAGCUGUAAGGCAGCUCUCAAUAAUGUGCUGCCACCAUUCAUUCUUGCUUGACUGACUCCUCCUCAACUGAGGAAGAGCCUUUUAGUUGUCCCAUGUAACUCACCUC